RNA transcript from Labrus mixtus (cuckoo wrasse), 3469 nucleotides. It is a transcript of the gene named solute carrier family 26 member 9-like, with no coding region annotated. The transcript has 20 exons. The record is from RefSeq and is a predicted model, not a curated record. Lineage: Eukaryota; Metazoa; Chordata; Actinopteri; Labriformes; Labridae.
AAACAGUCGAAUAUACUACUCAGACUUCACCCGGAGUUUCUCCUGCCGUCCUCUCCUGUGAGGAGCAUAUGUGACCAGCCAGGCCAGGAGACUAUCCGGAGCAGUCCACCUGCAAGUAUCUAAAUAUAUUCAGGAGUGCACAUGUGACAACAGCUCCGUUUUUUAUAAAGGAAUCAAACAAUAGUCUAAUUCACAAAUCUGGACCUAAUGCUGGCAGACGUUCUUCAUCGAUAAGAGUCAUGCCCGAGAACCGCCCACGCUACGUGAUUGACAGGCCCGCUUAUAACCUCCCGGACUUUGACAGAGAGUUUGACAAGAAGAGUCGACAACUCCCCGUCGGAGAGAAACUGAAGAAACCCUUCAGAUGCUCGGUGAAGAGACUGAAGGGCUUAUUAUUCAGACAUCUGCCUGUUCUGAGCUGGCUCCCCAAGUACAAAGUGAAAGAAAACCUGCUGCAUGAUGUCAUCAGCGGGGUCAGUGCCGGCACUAUUCAGGUUCCCCAAGGCAUGGCAUUUGCCCUGUUGGCAAACCUCCCUCCCGUCAACGGUCUCUAUUCGUCUUUCUUCCCCCUCAUCCCUUAUUUCUUCAUGGGCACCACUCCCCAGAUAGUGCCGGGUACGCUCCCCCUCCUCAGCAUUAUGGUGGGAGCGGCAUGUCUGCGUCUGGCCCCAGAGUCCGACUUCAGUCAUUUCAAUGCCACUCUAAAUGCUACAAUAGUGGACACAGACAGGAUGGACGAGGUUCGACUGGGAAUAUCUGGAACUCUGGCCUGUCUCACUGCAAUCAUACAGAUUAGCCUUGGCUUCAUGCAGAUUGGCUUUGUGGCCAUCUAUCUGUCAGAUUCGUUCAUCAGAGGCUUCUUGACGGCCUCAUCGCUGCAUUUUCUCACCUCAAUGCUCAAAUACAUCUUUGACGUCAACGUUUCACCUCAUGCUGGUCCACUGGCCAUUAUAUAUAGGCUCAUAGAUAUCGUUCGCAGUCUUCCCGAUACCAACGUAGCAUCUCUAGUAUUCGCUCUGGUCAGCAUUGUAGUCCUGAUUGUGGUGAAGGAGCUAAAUGCCCGCUACCGCCACAAGUUGCCCUUUCUCAUACCUGUGGAGUUCAUCGUUGUGGUGGUGGCAACAGCCAUUUCAGGCCCUUUGCAUCUUCCUGAGACCUACAACAUGGAUAUAGUGGGCCUAAUUCCUUUGGGAUUCCCAGCACCAAUCCUACCAACAGUGAGUCAGUGGGAGGAAUUGCUGAGCACAGCUUUCUCUCUGGCAAUUAUAGGUUACAUCAUGAACUUGGCUAUUUCACGGACACUGGCAACCAAGCAUGGCUACGACGUGGAUGCUAACCAGGAAAUGUUGGCUCUUGGCUGCAGCAAUUUCUUUGGCUCCUUCUUUAAAAUCCAAGUGACCUGCUGUGCUCUGUGUGUGACCAAGGCUGUGGACAGUGCAGGUGGAAAAUCACAGUUCGCCAGUUUUAGUGUGAUGAUGGUCGUAAUGGUCACACUGCUUGCAUUGGGAGUCUACCUGAGACCGCUUCCAAAAUCAGUGCUUGGAGCCUUGAUUGUGGUCAACCUGAAGCCCCCACUCCUCCAGCUCUCCGAUCCAUACUACUUAUGGAAGAAGAGCAAAUUGGACUGUUGUGUGUGGGUUGUGACGUUCUUGUCCACAUUAUUACUUGGCUUGCCUUAUGGAGCUGCUGUCGGAGUGGGCUUUUCCAUCCAGGUGGUGAUAUUCAGGACACAAUUUCGUAAUGGUUCAGCAUUGGUUCAAAUUGAGGCUACAGAUAUCUACAAAAACCCAAAGGUGUACAGCAAGGGCAUGUCCGUAAAGGGUGUGAAAAUUUUGAACUACUGCUCACCCCUUUAUUUUGCGAAUGCAGAAAUAUUUCGACAGAGGGUCAUCAAAAAGACUGGGCUCGACCCUGGAAAACAUAUCCUGGCCAGAUGGAAGUUGUUGGAGAAAAAGCAGAAGGAGAAAGCGAAACAGGAGAAGAAGGACAAGGAGGCAAGAAAGAAGAAUCUCAGCUCUAUGGUUGACAUGAAGAUCCAGACCAUAUCUCAGCUUGAACUGCGAAAGGACUUUGGCUUGAAAGACGACAGACUUCCCAUCAGAUUUGUCAACCCUGGAUUUAGUGACAUUGAGCUGGCUCAGGAGAUGCCUGAGCCUGAGUUGCCCUUCCACACCCUCGUACUCGACCUGGCAGGAGUCUGCUUUGUCGACCUGAUGGGCAUCAAAGUCUUGAUUAAGAUGAACUCAAGCUACUCGAUGCUUGGGAUGAAACUAUACCUGGCAAAUAUUCAAGCCCAGGUGUAUGAGGAACUGAAGGCGGGAGGCGCGUUUGAUGAUGGAAACAUUGCAGGCAGUAAUCUCUUUCUUUCUGUCCAUGAUGCCAUUCUGUUUGCACUAGAAACUUCUGAAGAGCAGCGAGACUCCUCAAAGGUAGAUCCAGCUCCUUUUCAUGACAUCACAUACACACACAGACCGCUUAAAGGUUUCUAUGUCAGGGAUAAAGGAAUGGAUUUUAAAGAUUACAAAAGCAAGAUAGUUUUCUUACUUCUGCAUUCCUGGCUUGGCAAAGCUUUUGUCGUCUUAUCUGAUUCAACAAGGGUAACCAGAAAGGUCACAAGGGAUUACAGGUGAUGUGACACAUAAAAUGCUUCAACAAAUAAAGCUAAAUCAAGGUCACGCUGCAUAAUACAUAAUACAUUCUCCUUAUGAUUCUGCUCUACUUUCUAUUCAUUAAGGCUAUGGUUAUCAACAGGUGGGUCGGGACCCAAAAUUGGGUCACAUUGUGGCUUUUAAUGGGUCGAGGAUGUGUGUCAGGGAAGAAAAUAGUUAAGGCAAAAAGUCUAUUCUGUGUUUUUAUUUAUUAUAUAUUUAUAUACAAUAUGGUGUCUUUAAAGUGUUCAUGUGUAGAAGGGUCAGUAGAGGACAGUAGGUCGAUGUUAUGCACUUUAAGGCCGGCCAUCUGCAAUUAAACGACAAGAGGAGAAGAAUGUGACUUUCAGACCUUCUUCAAUGCAACAUGAUGCCCAUUUAUUUUAAAUGUAGUCAUAUUUCAAGUAAAGCAGACACAUCAGCAGGUUAUUCUUCAGGGAGUGAUUAACCCGUCAUUGAAAAGUCACUACCGGGGCAACUUGUUAGUCAUUAUUAAAGAGAGUUUAGAAUCAUCCAAAUGUGGCCACUCGUAAAAAAAUGUAAAUGGUAAUGCAAAAACACAAAACAUGACCUUCAAAAAAGUUUACCAAAAACCAUUAUAUGGUGACCGUUUAUGGUUUGUGUUCUUGUCUGUUUGACUUUAAAUAUAUAAAUUCAUUUUAUUGUCUACAGACAGAGAAAGAAACAAAGGAGCUGUGCCUCUACAUGAAUGAGGAGCUGGAUCUAGAACAGGAAAUGUUUUGAAUGCUUCAAUGAAGAUGCAAUAAAGGAAACAUAGUAUUUAUUUUUAUACAUUUCUUUACUUGAUGGUUGGGAAUUAA